This 495-nucleotide ribosomal RNA is filed under the name uncultured bacterium. Its description in RNAcentral is "partial 16S ribosomal RNA". It matches the Rfam family "Bacterial small subunit ribosomal RNA", at positions 28 to 507 of the family's 1533-position model. The record is from RNAcentral.
GAUGAACGCUGGCGGCGUGCCUAAUACAUGCAAGUAGAACGCUGAAGGAGGAGCUUGCUCUUCUGGAUGAGUUGCGAACGGGUGAGUAACGCGUAGGUAACCUGCCUGGUAGCGGGGGAUAACUAUUGGAAACGAUAGCUAAUACCGCAUGACAACAGUUAUUGCAUGAUAACUGUUUAAAAGGGGCAACUGCUCCACUACCAGAUGGACCUGCGUUGUAUUAGCUAGUUGGUGAGGUAACGGCUCACCACGGCGACGAUACAUAGCCGACCUGAGAGGGGGAUCGGCCACCCUGGGACUGAGACACGGCCCAGACUCCUACGGGAGGCAGCAGUAGGGAAUCUUCGGCAAUGGACGGAAGUCUGACCGAGCAACGCCGCGGGAGUGAAGAAGGUUGUCGGAUCGUAAAGCUCUGUUGUAAGAGAAGAACGAGUGUGAGAGUGGAAAGUUCACACUGUGACGGUAUCUUACCAGAAAGGGACGGCUAACUACGUG